This is a long non-coding RNA of Parus major (Great Tit), 1017 nucleotides long. NCBI's taxonomy places the organism in Eukaryota, Metazoa, Chordata, Aves, Passeriformes, Paridae. The record is from Ensembl.
CGAAGGCCUAAUUUCAGUUGUGUCUGUCUAGACCAUUUCCUUGUGCCUUUGGCUCAAGAGGAGCCUUUUCAGUGUGAUUGCUGGAGCGUGCACACAGAAAAUACACUGGGCUGUGUGCAGGGGAUGCUUCACGAGUUGGAGUUGCAUUGCAUGGCAUUUCUGCGGGUAACAGGGAGACCCAGCUGCUCCUCCUGGAGCUCCCUGAUCGCAAAGGGAUGCAGAGUGUGUGUGAGAAGAUGCAUCUGCCCCUGCAGACAGGGCCUGUUGUUGGAGAGCUAUUUCAGUAGUGACCUUUUUCUUGUGCUCCACAGUAGAGCCUCCAGCCAGCUCUCAGUGCUCACGGAACAGCAACAGCAACACGCACUGAAAUUGAGACACUGAAGUACCUCCCAACACCAGUGGAAUGGCAAAAUUCCCACGUACUGGGAAAGGACCAGUACUAGGAAGGAUGGGAUCCUUGAAACCAAAAUCUACCAAUCACUGCAGUAUUCCCAUUAAUUCUGAGGACUCUUCACAUUAAUCAAGGUUUGUUUAAGAGACUGCUACAUGUGCUCAAAAAAUUGCAGGAUCGACCUGCCUGCCAAAUGAGUAAUGUAGGGUUGCAGAUGCUUGACUUGGCCAAAUUCACAGCAAGGUUGGUGUGAAGUGGCAAUUGUGCCCCAGGGAGUCUUCAGGCUCUGACUCAUCUGUGGCAACAGAAUAAUAUUGAGUGGGGUUUCUGCCCCAAGCCAGGUGCUGAGGGGGCUGCAUUCUAAUGGGAAGGUGCCACCACCUACCCUGCUAGUGGCACUGAGGUGGGCUGAAAUUCCAGCUCAUUUCAGACAGAAGGUUGUGACUGUCUUGUCUUUCUGUAGAGCUCUUCCACAGCAGAUGAUUUGUCUGGACUUCAGUGGCAGGGAUGGAGUGACAGGGUGGGGAUGAAGUUAUCCCAAACCUAAACCAUUCAGAUAGUUUUGGUGGAUAGCACAUUUAAAAUCCUAAAACAUUAGAAAUUAUUAUUGAUCUCUGUACUUUUUG